GACGAACGCUGGCGGCGCGCCUAACACAUGCAAGUCGAACGAGCGAGCGCGGGCUUGCUUUCUCGCUCGAGUGGCGAACGGGUGAGUAACGCGUGAGGAACCUGCCUCAAAGAGUGGGACAACAGUUGGAAACGACUGCUAAUACCGCAUAAGCGCACGUGCUCGCAGGGCACGGAGGGAAAGUGAGCAAUCCGCGAUGGGAUGGCCUCGCGUCCGAUUAGGUAGUUGGUGAGGUAAUGGCCCACCAAGGCGACGAGGGGUAGCCGGGCUGAGAGGUUGAACCGUCACGAUGGGACUGAGGCACAGCCCAGACUCGUACGGGAGGGAGCAGAGGGGAACACUGCGGAAUGAGGGAAGACCUGGCGCAGCGACGCGGCGUAGAAGAAGAAGGUCUUCGGAUUGCAAUCUCCCGUGGUUGGAGAAGAGAGUGACGGUACCGAACAAGGAAGUGACGGCUAACUACGUG
Molecule: ribosomal RNA, 466 nt
Filed under: uncultured bacterium
Lineage: Bacteria
Description: partial 16S ribosomal RNA
Rfam family: Bacterial small subunit ribosomal RNA
Source: RNAcentral